Molecule: non-coding RNA, 23 nt
Filed under: Cricetulus griseus (Chinese hamster)
Lineage: Eukaryota; Metazoa; Chordata; Mammalia; Rodentia; Cricetidae
Source: RNAcentral
AGGUCUGGUGCCCUCUUCUGGCC